UACGAAGGGGGCUAGCGUUGCUCGGAAUGACUGGGCGUAAAGGGCGCGUAGGCGGCUUGUAUAGUCGGAUGUGAAAUUCCUGGGCUUAACCUGGGGGCUGCAUACGAGACGUAUGUGCUUGAGUGCGGAAGAGGGUCGUGGAAUUCCCAGUGUAGAGGUGAAAUUCGUAGAUAUUGGGAAGAACACCUGUGGCGAAGGCGGCGUCCUGGUCCGUGACUGACGCUGAGGCGCGAAAGCGUGGGGAGCAAACAGG
RNAcentral lists this ribosomal RNA (253 nucleotides) under uncultured bacterium. RNAcentral's name for it is "partial 16S ribosomal RNA". It matches the Rfam family "Bacterial small subunit ribosomal RNA", at positions 524 to 776 of the family's 1533-position model. The record is from RNAcentral.